UAGGUUGAGUGUUGUCCGCAUUUGAACCGAGUGCCUGCAUUUACUCUAUAAUUGUGGGUGUCCGUGAGAAUGCUAGAUCAAGGUGUGAAUAUUGCGCAGCCAUUGCAUACAGUUGAAAUGUGAUGGUGCUGUUUUUAAAAUUCAGACAAACAAUAUUUGUGGUGCUAAGAAGGUUUUUUUCUAAAACAUUUGUAAAGUCCUGUCAUCUAACCAGUGCAUUUGUUUUUUGAAUAAUAAUAAUGACAUUACGCAAUUCCUUUAAUGUUUAUAAUUCAGUGCUUAAAAUUAUUUGAGAAUUCAGCCGGCUGUAUUCUAACCAUGCAAUGUAGCUGCAUCAUCCAUUCCAGGCGCCUGCAAAUUAAUUCACACUGGAGCCUGAACUGAAGGAAUGAUAGACUAGGCAUGACAGACACUGUUAAUUUAAGUUUAAUAAAGGCCUUAUGAUGAUGAUUAUUAUUAUGGGCAGCCUGUGCUUUUUGGUUUUGCAUUAGGGCUAGACCUGUUCACUCGUGAGCUUCUCCUGCUCUGCUCUCAUAUCUAGGCUCCUGAAACUGACACCAGCCAUCCCUGGUAGGCAGGACAGUUGGUAAAUUUAUACCAGCUUCUGCACAUUUUAUUUCAGCUUCCCUCGUAGUUAUGUGUAUAUUCUGUGACAUAAGCAUGGUAAUAGGGGGCUUGUAACCAUAGGGUUCUAAAGAGUUGCUUUGGGGAAAAAAACCUGUCUAUGAAUUAAUAUGUGAAAUAUAGUGCAUGCCAUAUAAAUUUAUCAAAAUAAAAGGUGUCCAUUGUGGGAAAUAAGUAUAUAGCUACUGGCAGUCAUUUUAAAGAGAUAAUGAUUAGCUGAAAUAUUUACAAAGAAAAGGGAGAGAAAAGUAAGAUCUGAGGUAAGAAUACAAAAUAACAAUUUGCAUUUGAUUGAAACAAAGGAUUGAUAUUUUAUACAUGGUUGUUUGAACAUAAACCAUACAAUGGCAUAUUUUCAUCCCAUCAGUUCAUUGCAUUAUAUUAUUGCAUUAUUUAAAUUCUGUUGUAGUGUACCAUGUGUAACUUGGCCUGAUUGACAGUGUUGUCCUUCAUUUUUGCCAGAUCACUGUGGCGGGAUGACAAGUCCAUUGUCAAGGGCUGCCCAGCUAGCUGUCCCUCUCUAUAUCUGCUGACAGCAUGGUUCUGAAGCGUAGCCAGGAUUCUAAUUCCAGUUAUUCAGCACAGAAACCCAAUCCACACAGCAGGCACUCAGCGUCAGUAAACCACUCUGCUGCACUGAGGAUCUCUUCAGUUUAAACAUGGCUCUUACUUCAUGUGCAUGGUAUUGGAUUAUAACAGCAAACAGAGAUGCACACGUGUAAAAUGGAUGAGAUUCCUGCAGUAUUAGUUGCAAUCAGGCUAUAUUUUUCAGUAACUGAGUAAACCCUGGGGUAGCUAUAGUCGUACUUUUUCACCUGAUUCAACCCAUUGAUUGUCUUAAACAACUAAAUGGCCAAAAGAUGUGUGUGAUUUGUUAUCAAGAAAAAGAACAUGGGAAUACAAGCCAUGUGUUGACCCAGUAGACUCUGGUCUAUCACAUGCAUAUACAGCCCAGAACAUUCUGUUAAACAUUACAAAAAUCAGAACUGGGUAGACGUUAAACCAAGGUUGAAUUAGACACAAAUUAUUAAAAGCAGAAAUAUCCUUUCACAUUGCCCAAAGGCCAUCUGACAAGCAAAUAAGCAGUGAUAGGGCUACUUUGCUGUGAGCUUAGUGCAGAAGAGAAAGUGCUGAAAUGUGUAUGACCAAUGCGCUGACUGGGUCUGCCAAGACAAUACUUUCACGUCAAACCAAGAGCAGGUAUCCACCCCCCUCAAAGUAUCCUAAGGUUUCACUCUACAAGUUUAAUGAGGGAGGACAGAAAUGCAGCUCUACUAAAAUGAGCACAAGCCACUGUGUCCACAGCAUGUGCAGUCAGGUCUGCUUUCAAAAUUGUGAUGUGGAAACACUCAACUUGUACACAAAGCUAGCAAGUCUGUUGUCUGAAUAGCUUACACAAUGUUCUCCAUAAUCUAAACACAAAAUAAAAAAUGAAAAAAGGAGUAAAGGAAUAAAGUAUGUCACCGUACCCAUAUUAGAUGUGUAGUCAUUCUGUAUUUACACAAUAGCAACACUAAUAUAAAAAUUCCAAAUAAACACUUGUCCUUGUUAAAUUCUAAUUCAAUAAAAAUGAGUUGUACGACAACCGACAGUAGCCGACAGUGGGGCUCAUUGCCGCGAAAGCACGCCAGACAUCUAUUUAUUACACUGCAACAUUCAUAUAACCUGUCCUUCGAGAAUAAUGCGGCAAUGCACUUCACAACGUCGAUCUUCAUACGGAACUGCUAACAAACAACAGGAUGCCUAAUUCAAGGACUUGGUCAGGGUCAAAUUAAAUAAAGGGAAAGCGAAACGCGCCUAAUGAACAUGCACUCGAGAUAAUGGCAUUUGUUAUCACUACAUUGGGAGCUGAAACUGAUUUUCCAGGACCUCUUUGAAGUUCGAGGGGAUGCUCGUUCCCAUAAAUACAAGCGCCUGCAGUUGCUGCAGGACAUGGAGCUGCGCUGUGAGGCAGGCCACCUCUGCGCUCUUCUCCUGCAGUGCUCUCCUGGUGGCCUCAAGCUCCUUGGUCAGCUCCAGCACCUGCUGCUGCUUCAGUGUGCGCUCAUUCUCCAAACAGAGCACCCUCCUCUGCAGAGACGCUGCCAGACCCUGCGCUGCCUGGAGCUGAGAUGGGGCAAAAGAGCAUUUUGUAUGCACACUUAACUGCUUACGACCUGAAAUAUAAUAAGAGCUCGGCAGGGACCCGGCACCAGCUACCUGCUCUCUGACCUUCACCGCCCCGUCCCCCGGGCUCCUGUGUAGGUCGGAGCCCUGUUCGUCCACCUCGUCUAGCUCUCUGAUGGACUCCAGGGGGGAAACACGGUGCCCCGCGUUACUCAGACUGUCCUCGGUGUGAGGGGACACCAGCGGGCUCUGCAAAACCAACUCCUCCUCGGGCUGGUCUCCUGAUUUCGGCUGCUGCAUGUUUUCGGCUGGAGAAGGGAUCACUGAGGUGAUGCUGUAGCAGUCCCCCGUCUCAUCCUCUCCAUUCUUUGCCCUGCCCCCUUCUUCCUUGUUCCUUGGCUGCCACUCAACAGUUUCACACAGCAGUUCGCUGGGCAUUGCCAUGGACUUCAUAGGUACCAUCUUGAUACAGUCUGAGUAAUAAUAUAAAUACUACUGAAUAAAUGAUGGUAUUAUAAUGGUA
This is a long non-coding RNA of Anguilla anguilla (European eel), 3253 nucleotides long. RefSeq lists it as uncharacterized. Lineage: Eukaryota; Metazoa; Chordata; Actinopteri; Anguilliformes; Anguillidae. The transcript is spliced from 4 exons. The record is from RefSeq and is a predicted model, not a curated record.